UCCUUGUAGACAGAAAAAUGA
This 21-nucleotide non-coding RNA is filed under the name Caenorhabditis elegans. The record is from RNAcentral. Lineage: Eukaryota; Metazoa; Nematoda; Chromadorea; Rhabditida; Rhabditidae.